UGCGGAAUAGCUCAGCGGUAGUAGCGACGGGCUCAUAACCCGUAGGUCGGUGGUUCGAGUCCACCUUCCGCAACCA
Molecule: transfer RNA, 76 nt
Filed under: Cupriavidus sp. SZY C1
Lineage: Bacteria; Pseudomonadati; Pseudomonadota; Betaproteobacteria; Burkholderiales; Burkholderiaceae
Description: tRNA-Met
Rfam family: tRNA
About the family: Transfer RNA (tRNA) molecules are approximately 80 nucleotides in length. Their secondary structure includes four short double-helical elements and three loops (D, anti-codon, and T loops). Further hydrogen bonds mediate the characteristic L-shaped molecular structure. tRNAs have two regions of fundamental functional importance: the anti-codon, which is responsible for specific mRNA codon recognition, and the 3' end, to which the tRNAs corresponding amino acid is attached (by aminoacyl-tRNA synthetases). tRNAs cope with the degeneracy of the genetic code in two manners: having more than one tRNA (with a specific anti-codon) for a particular amino acid; and 'wobble' base-pairing, i.e. permitting non-standard base-pairing at the 3rd anti-codon position.
Source: RNAcentral